RNAcentral lists this ribosomal RNA (348 nucleotides) under uncultured bacterium. RNAcentral describes it as "partial 16S ribosomal RNA". It matches the Rfam family "Bacterial small subunit ribosomal RNA", at positions 338 to 703 of the family's 1533-position model. The record is from RNAcentral.
CCUACGGGUGGCAGCAGUGGGGAAUAGUGCACAAUGGGGGAAACCCUGAUGCAGCGACGCCGCGUGAGUGAAGAAGUAUUUCGGUAUGUAAAGCUCUAUCAGCAGGGAAGAAAAUGACGGUACCUGAGUAAGAAGCCCCGGCUAACUACGUGCCAGCAGCCGCGGUAAUACGUAGGGGGCAAGCGUUAUCCGGAUUUACUGGGUGUAAAGGGAGCGUAGACGGCAGCACAAGUCUGGAGUGAAAUGCCGGGGCUUAACCCCGGAACUGCUUUGGAAACUGUGCAGCUAGAGUGCAGGAGCGGUAAGUGGCUUUCCUCGUGUAGCGGUGCCAUGCGUAGCUCUUCGGAG